UACGUAGGGUGCGAGCGUUAAUCGGAAUUACUGGGCGUAAAGCGUGCGCAGGCGGUCGUACAAGUCGCGUGUGAAAGCCCCCGGCUCAACUGGGGAGGGUCACGCGAUACUGUUCGACUCGAAGGCAGGAGAGGGAAGCAGAAUUCCCGGUGUAGUGGUGAAAUGCGUAGAUAUCGGGAGGAAUACCAGUGGCGAAGGCGGCUUCCUGGCCUGUUCUUGACGCUGAGGCGCGAAAGCUAGGGUAGCAAACGGG
Molecule: ribosomal RNA, 253 nt
Filed under: uncultured bacterium
Lineage: Bacteria
Description: partial 16S ribosomal RNA
Rfam family: Bacterial small subunit ribosomal RNA
Source: RNAcentral